AUUGAACGCUGGCGGCAUGCCUUACACAUGCAAGUCGAACGGCAGCACGGGGCAACCUGGUGGCGAGUGGCGAACGGGUGAGUAAAGCAUCGGAACGUACCCUAGAGUGGGGGAUAACUAUCCGAAAGGAUAGCUAAUACCGCAUAUUCUAUGAGUAGGAAAGCGGGGGAUCUUCGGACCUCGCGCUCUAGGAGCGGCCGAUGUCAGAUUAGCUAGUUGGUGGGGUAAAGGCCUACCAAGGCGACGAUCUGUAGCGGGUCUGAGAGGAUGAUCCGCCACACUGGGACUGAGACACGGCCCAGACUCCUACGGGAGGCAGCAGUGGGGAAUUUUGGACAAUGGGGGCAACCCUGAUCCAGCCAUGCCGCGUGAGUGAAGAAGGCCUUCGGGUUGUAAAGCUCUUUCGGCCGGGAAGAAAUCGUGUGGGCUAAUACCCUGCAUGGAUGACGGUACCGGAACAAGAAGCACCGGCUAACUACGUGCCAGCAGCCGCGGUAAUACGUAGGGUGCAAGCGUUAAUCGGAAUUACUGGGCGUAAAGCGUGCGCAGGCGGUUUUGUA
RNAcentral lists this ribosomal RNA (560 nucleotides) under uncultured bacterium. RNAcentral describes it as "bacterial SSU rRNA". It matches the Rfam family "Bacterial small subunit ribosomal RNA", at positions 28 to 585 of the family's 1533-position model. The record is from RNAcentral.